This 400-nucleotide ribosomal RNA is filed under the name uncultured bacterium. Its description in RNAcentral is "bacterial SSU rRNA". It matches the Rfam family "Bacterial small subunit ribosomal RNA", at positions 355 to 747 of the family's 1533-position model. The record is from RNAcentral.
UGGGGAAUUUUGCGCAAUGGGCGAAAGCCUGACGCAGCAACGCCGCGUGGGUGAUGAAGGUCUUCGGAUCGUAAAACCCUGUCGUCGGGGACGAAGGUUGUAUGCCUAACAGGUGUGCAAUUUGACGGUACCCGGAGAGGAAGCCCCGGCUAACUCUGUGCCAGCAGCCGCGGUAAUACAGAGGGGGCAAGCGUUAUUCGGAAUUAUUGGGCGUAAAGGGCGCGUAGGCGGUUUUUUAAGUCAGAUGUGUAAUCCCCGAGCUCAACUUGGGAACUGCAUCUGAGACUGGAAGGCUAGAGUACUGGAGAGGGUGGUAGAAUUCCACGUGUAGCGGUGAAAUGCGUAGAGAUGUGGAGGAAUACCAGUGGCGAAGGCGGCCACCUGGACAGUAACUGACGCU